CCUACGGGUGGCAGCAGUAGGGAAUAUUGCUCAAUGGGCGAAACCCUGAAGCAGCAACGCCGCGUGGAGGAUGAAGGUUUUCGGAUUGUUAACUCCUUUUGUUAGAGAAGAUAAUGACGGUAUGUAACGAAUAAUCACCGGCUAACUCCGUGCCAGAAGCCGCGGUAAGACGGAGGCUGCAAGCGUUACUCGGAAUCACUGGGCGUAAAGAGCGUGUAGGCGGGAUAGCAAGUCAGAUGUGAAAUCCUAUGGCUUAACCAUAGAACUGCAUUUGAAACUGUUAUUCUAGAGUAUGGGAGAGGUAGGCGGAAUGCUUGGUGUAGGGGUAAAAUGCGUAGAGAUCAAGAGGAAUACUCAUUGCGAAGGCGGCCUGCUAGAACAUCACUGACGCUGAGGCGCGAAAGCGUGGGGAGCAAACAGGAUUAGAUACCCGAGUAGUC
This 440-nucleotide ribosomal RNA is filed under the name uncultured bacterium. RNAcentral describes it as "partial 16S ribosomal RNA". It matches the Rfam family "Bacterial small subunit ribosomal RNA", at positions 338 to 795 of the family's 1533-position model. The record is from RNAcentral.